This 491-nucleotide ribosomal RNA is filed under the name uncultured bacterium. RNAcentral describes it as "bacterial SSU rRNA". It matches the Rfam family "Bacterial small subunit ribosomal RNA", at positions 28 to 526 of the family's 1533-position model. The record is from RNAcentral.
AAUGAACGUUGGCGGCGUGGAUUAGGCAUGCAAGUCGUGCGGAAAGGCCCUAGCUUGCUAGGGCACUCGAGCGGCGAAAGGGAGAGUAACGCGUGGGUACCUGCCUUUGGAUCCGGGAUAGCCUCGAGAAAUCGGGGGUAAUACCGGAUAACGUCUUCGGACCAAAGGUGUGAUUCCGUCCAGAGAUGGGCCCGCGUCCUAUUAGCUUGUUGGUGGGGUAAUGGCCUACCAAGGCUGAGAUGGGUACCGGGUGUGAGAGCAUGGCCCGGCUCACUGGGACUGAGACACUGCCCAGACACCUACGGGUGGCUGCAGUCGAGAAUCUUCGGCAAUGGGCGCAAGCCUGACCGAGCGACGCCGCGUGCGGGAUGAAGGCCUUCGGGUUGUAAACCGCUGUCAGUGGGGAGGAAAUGCUGUGAGGUUCUCCUUGCAGUUUGACCGAUCCGCAGAGGAAGGACGGGCUAAGUUCGUGCCAGCCGCCGCCGUAACAC